UGGCUCAUUAUAUCAGUUAUAGUUUAUUAGAAAAAAUGUACUACUUGGAUAACCGUAGUAAUUCUAGGGCUAAUACAUGAAUGAAUCCUCGACUUUGAAGAGGUGUGUUUAUUAGUAUGAAAACCAUAUGCUUCGGCAUGAUAGUGAGUAAUAAUAACCUUUCGUAUCGUAUGUUGACAUAACGAUAGUUCUUUCAAGUUUCUGCCCUAUCAGCUUUCGAUGGUAGUGUAUUGGACUACCAUGGCAGUAACGGGUAACGAAGAAUUUGGGUUCGAUUUCGGAGAGGGAGCCUGAUAGAUGGCUACCACAUCCAAGGAAGGCAGCAGGCGCGUAAAUUACCCAAUCCUGACAGAGGGAGGUAGUGACAAUAAAUCACAAUGCGGGACUAUUUAGUUUUGCAAUUGGAUUGAGAACAAUGUACAAGAGUUAUCGAUAAACAAUUGGAGGGCAAGUCUGGUGCCAGCAGCCGCGGUAAUUCCAGCUCCAAUAGCGUAUAUUAACGUUGUUGCAGUUAAAAAGCUC
RNAcentral lists this ribosomal RNA (522 nucleotides) under Blastocystis sp. subtype 14. RNAcentral describes it as "SSU rRNA". It matches the Rfam family "Eukaryotic small subunit ribosomal RNA", at positions 94 to 629 of the family's 1831-position model. The record is from RNAcentral. Lineage: Eukaryota; Bigyra; Opalinata; Blastocystidae.